ACUCCUACGGGAGGCAGCAGUGGGGAAUUUUGCGCAAUGGGGGAAACCCUGACGCAGCAACGCCGCGUGAGUGAUGAAGGCCCUUGGGUCGUAAAGCUCUGACAGAGAGAAAGAAAUGCAGGGGAGCUAAUAUCUCCCUUGCUUGACGGUACCCUCAAAGGAAGCACCGGCUAACUCCGUGCCAGCAGCCGCGGUAAUACGGGGGGUGCAAGCGUUGUUCGGAUUUAUUGGGCGUAAAGCGCGUGUAGGCGGUUUUAUAAGUCUGAUGUGAAAGCCCUGGGCUCAACCCGGGAAGUGCAUUGGAUACUGUAAGACUUGAAUACGGGAGAGGGCAGUGGAAUUCCUAGUGUAGGAGUGAAAUCCGUAGAUAUUAGGAGGAACACCGGUGGCGAAGGCGGCUGCCUGGACCGAUAUUGACGCUGAGACGCGAAAGCGUGGGUAGCAAACAGGAUUAGAUACCCUGGUAGUCCACGCCGUAAACGAUGAGAACUAGGUGUCGCGGGUA
Molecule: ribosomal RNA, 505 nt
Filed under: uncultured Geobacter sp.
Lineage: Bacteria; Pseudomonadati; Thermodesulfobacteriota; Desulfuromonadia; Geobacterales; Geobacteraceae
Description: bacterial SSU rRNA
Rfam family: Bacterial small subunit ribosomal RNA
Source: RNAcentral